GAACGCACAUUGCGCCCGGCAGUAAUCUGCCGGGCAUGCCUGUCCGAGCGUCAUUUCUGCCCUCGAGCCUGUCCAGCAUCUAGGUGCUGUUCAGGUCCGGCGUUGGGGCACUACGGGAAGCCUCGUGCUAUCCCCCGUAGGCCCCGAAAUGAAGUGGCGGUCCUGCCGCGGCUCCCCCUGCGUAGUAUUACAGCUCGCUUCGGGACCCGGUGGAGGCCUGCCGUCAAACCUUACUCUCUAAGUUUGACCUCGGAUCAGGUAGGGUUACCCGCUGAACUUAAGC
This 283-nucleotide unclassified non-coding RNA is filed under the name uncultured Cephalotrichum. Its description in RNAcentral is "sequence contains ITS2". The stretch from base 1 to 53 matches the Rfam family "5.8S ribosomal RNA", at positions 102 to 154 of the family's 154-position model. The record is from RNAcentral. Lineage: Eukaryota; Fungi; Ascomycota; Sordariomycetes; Microascales; Microascaceae.